RNAcentral lists this ribosomal RNA (253 nucleotides) under uncultured bacterium. RNAcentral's name for it is "partial 16S ribosomal RNA". It matches the Rfam family "Bacterial small subunit ribosomal RNA", at positions 524 to 776 of the family's 1533-position model. The record is from RNAcentral.
UACGUAGGGGGCAAGCGUUGUCCGGAUUUACUGGGUUUAAAGCGCACGUAGGCGGCUUUGUUAGUCAGGGGUGAAAUCGUGGGGCUUAACCGCGGAACCGCCAUUGAUACUGAUAGUCUCGAGUCCGGCAGAGGUUGGUGGAAUGCGUGGUGUAGAGGUGAAAUGCGUAGAUAUCAGGCAGAACACCAGUGGCGAAGGCAGAUCCCUGGGCCGGAACUGACGCUGAGGCACGAAAGCGUGGGGAGCAAACAGG